CAAAAUAGUACAGGUGUUGCAAGAAGAGUUAUUUUACCUUUCCUCACCUUUUUCAUUUCCUAUUUUUACCUACACCAAACCCCAAAUCCUAAUUUCACCGCAGCCUCCCACCACUGCCUUCUUUGAAACGCCGUCCACCGUCACCUGUCAAGAAACUGCAGUGCGCCACCUCGCUCAGAACGGAGACAAUGUUCCGUCGCUGCUCCACGCCGCACUACUGCCUCUCCUCCAUGCCGCACCACUGCCUCUCUUCCACGCCGCACCGCUGCAUCUCCAUCUCCCCUGAAACCCGCGAAGUGUCGUCCCUACCUACGCCCCUGCUCCACACAGCGACACCGUGCCUCUGUUCCCAACCGCCGCGCGUUCCAGUCUUCACUCCACUGCCGCCGCGCGGUCUUCGCUCUACUGCUGCCGCGCCGUCGUCACUCCACUACCGCCGCGUCCGUCGUCCCUCCGUCACACUCGCGUCGCCAUCGCACCGUCACAUUCGCGACGCCGUCGCUCCCUGACACUCGCAUCGCCGUUGCGCCGUCACACUCGCGUCCUCGUCGCUCUGUCCUUCGAAUCCAGUGCCAUCUUUCAAACUUCACGGAUGAACCACAACUGAGUUCAACUUCUCAUUGUUGCAUUAUGAAGAGGCUCUUCUGCUGAUUUGGGGAACCAGGAGACAGUUCAGAAAGUCUGUGACAUAGUCAAGAAGCAAUUGGCACUGCCAGAGGGUUCAAGUGUCACUGGAGAGUCCAAGUUUGCUGCCCUUGGAGCUGAUUCUCUUUACACAGAUUGAAGUUUUGCAAUUGAAUAUGGCCAAUGUGCUUUUGGAGAAUGGGAGGAUCAACGCAGUGCACGUGCUUUUGGAGAAAGGGAUUGAUUUGAAUGCAGAGGAUGAAGAAGGGUAUGCUAAUAUCAUGCACAAAUACAUGAAAAAUUCACAGAGAAGCUUUUGUGCUGAUGUGGCAGAGGUUUUGGUGAAGAAAGGUGCUGAUGUUGAAGUCAGGAGUAAGAAGGGUAUCACUGCUUUUGUGCUAAUGUGGUUUGUCCAUAAGAGUGAACUCGUUUCACUGCAGCUAUUGUUGCUUGUGUUCCAACAAAAGUUCACAUUGAGGGAGCAGGUGAAACAGAAUUCAAGAUAUCUCCAACUGAAAUUACAGAUGCUAUGAAAGCAGGAUUGGAUCAGCCUAUAAUGCCAGAGCCUGAGGAUGAAGAACAUGAAAACAAAGGAAAAGAUGAGAGCUGUGAAGCUGCUGAAAGCGGUGCAUCUUAAAGUGAAGAUGCAACUGACGAGGUAAUGGUUGGCUUCUGGUUCUUUUUUCUUUUGCAAAAAACCUUGAAUAUACCGAGUUAUUAAGAAGGGUCACUUUAAUUUCUAAAGUUAAUAAUUUUUUAAAAAUGAGUAAUCUCAGUGUAUGUUUGGGCGCAAUUAUUUUGUUAAAAAAGAUCUUUUGAAAAAAGAUCUUUUUUAUUUUUUAACGUGUUUGGCAAAUUUCUACUAGUAAAAAUAAAAGCACUAGUAAAAUAAAAAAAAAUCUUUUUUUGAGAAGCUGUAAUUUACAUUUUUUUAAAAAGAUUUUUUUCCUUAAAAAAAGAUGUUUGUCAUGUAAUAAAUAAACAAAAAAGUACUUUUAUAUUGUUAUACCCAAACAUAAUUGAUAGAUAAAAAGACUUUUUUACAUGAGAUAUCCAAACAUAAAAUUACUUUGACUUCUCUAUAAGAUCUUUUAAAAAAAGAUAACUCGAAAAAAGAUAUUUUCUUAAAAGUUAACCCAAACAAGCCCUUAAUUCUCAACAAAAAAAAGUAUUUCCAACUUUAAUUCCAUAAUAAUCCAAUCAAAUAAUAAAAUAAUGAAGAGUUAUAUUCUAUCUAAAAUGAAGAGUUGUGAUGAAGUCAUCCUUCAGAAUUUAUGAAAUUCAUACUUGUCAUCAUAUUAACAAUUUAUUCGUUUGGAGGUAUCAGAACCUGGGCUAAAAUUGCCAUAUUCAUAAAAAAUAGAAGGUUAUCCCUGUAAAAAAAUUUAAUAUUUUAUACGAUCGUUCAAUUAAAAUCAUGUGCUUACAUAACUUUUUAUACAUAACUAUAAUUCUUAAAUUAUUAUCAACUAAGUCGCAUUGACAUUGUUGCUUUAAAUUUAACAUGAAUUAAUAAUGUCUUAGUAAGAUGAUUAGCAUAGUGAUAGAGUCUUACUCAUGUUGAAAGCAAUCCCAUGGGUCCCAACCAGCGAGUUGAAUAAUGUUGGCCAUGUUUGUGUUGUAGAAAAUAACUCUAGCAUAAGGUCUCCAAGGUCUUCUUAAGAAAGUAGAACCAUUUCCAAAGACAUUGCAAUUCUUGAACACAAAUACAUUUGAAUCCGUUGAAUUUGUUCUCUCUUGUGCUGUGAUAUAUCCUAUAAAUCCUUCUCCUAAUGCCCUUCCAAUCACACAUCUCUAUCGUUGCCAACACAAUAAUAAUAUGUUUAAUUAAUACUAUCAGCUGAUUAAUUAGAUGUAUUAUUGUUUUGUUGGCAACUAGAGAGAUGUAGUAUAAAUGUGAUUGGAAGGGUUUUAGGAAAAGGGUUUGUAGGAUAUAUUACAUCACAAGGGAGAACAAAUUCAACUGAUUCAAAUGGAUUUGUAUUUAAGAAUUGCAAUGUUUUUAGAAAUGGUUCUACUUUCUUGGGAAGACCUUGGAGAUCUUAUGCUAGAGUUCUUUUCUACAACACAAACAUGACCAACAUUAUUCAACCCGCUGGUUGGGACCCAUGAGAUUGCUCUCAACAUGAGUAAAUGUUGAUAAAAUAUUAAAAUUUUUUUUACAGGGAUAACGUUAUAUUUGCUGAAUAUGGCAAUUUUGGACUAAGUUUUGAUACCUCCAAACGAGUAAAUUGGAUUUAAAGACGAUUAAUAUGAUAACAAGUAUGAGUUUAAUAGAUUCUGAAGGAUGGAUUUAUCGCAACUCUUCAUUUUAGAUAGAAUAUUAUCAAUAGUUUCAACACCAUUUUAGAUCGAAUAUAACUUUUCAUUAUUUUAUUAUUUGAUUGGAUUAUUAGGGAAUUAAAGUUGGACAUACUUUCUUUUUGAAAAUUGAGAUUACUCAUUUUUAGAAAAUUAUUAACUUUAGAAAUUAAUUCUAUAAAUAUUUAUUCAUAUGUUCUCAGUCUUCAUAGUUAAUAUUAUUCUGGUUUCAUUUAAACUUUUUAGUUACUUUAUUUCUUAAAUGAUUAUGUAUCUGUAUAUCUAAUUAUAUUUUUUAUCUUUAUAUUUUAAAUGAAUUAAAAAAAAUGUGUUAUUAAUUUAUUAAUACAAAAUAUUUAAUAUGUUUUAUAUAAAUAAAAAAGACAUUAAAACAUUUAAAAAUUAGUUUAUUUUAAAUAUUAAUAAAAUAUUAGGAUAUGAUUAUAAUUUAAUGCUAAAUUUUGCUUUAAAAUCAUCUUUUGAGGCAAAGUUAUCCUUCUUUCCUCAUCUCUCUCAUCAGCACCCUUAACCCUAAUCCUCCCAAUCACUCUCAACCCGUCACCUCUGAUUUAUUUUAAUUAAAAAAUCCAAAAUUUGUGAAAAGAAUGAGAAAAAUCAAAGAGCAAAACCAAAACCUGUGAAGAGAAAGAGAAAAAGAGCAAAAAUAUUUUGUUUACGCUCGUUGUGUUAUUGUGUUGAUCACUUCUCAUCUUUUUUGAAUUUUAUAAGGAUAAAUUGUUUGAAAAAAAAAAUAAAGUGAAAUGAGGAAGAGGAUAUUUUUAUCCGAAAAAUAGGAAAAAAUGAUUUUAAAAUAAAACCCAACGUUAGAAAUAAUUUUGAAUAAAAAAAAUCUUAGGAAUAAUUUUAAUUUUCAGUAAAAUUAUAGAGAUCAAAAUUGUUAUUCACCCCUUAUUUAUAACAUUCUUUACAUUUGUUAAUGUACUUAUAUUUUACUUGUCCAUGUCAACAUCUUUUGAGUCAUAAACAUACUUAAAAUUAGAGGAAAGACAUACACCUAAAAUUUAUAAGUAGCCAACAUAUUUUAAGUAUGUUAUAUAUUAUCAGUCAUAUAUUAUCACAUAAACAAAAGAAAUUAAAUUUUAUAUUCUCUAUUCAAAAUUAAAGUCAUAAUUGUUUAUAAAAAAAUUUAGACAAGAGUAGUUUUUAUGUUUUCAAAAAUCAAUAAUUAUCCAAAUAUUUGAAGAAGCAAGCGACAGCCAUCCUUGAGGUCCAUGAUGGGGGGAGAACAUGGCCUGUUACUUACAGUUUUGGCAAAUUCAAUUCUGGAUGGAAGAGAUUUGCAAAAGACAAUAGUUUGAAUGUAGGGGACAUUUGUGUUUUUGAGCCCACCAAUCCCAAAGACCUUUAUUUUAAGGUAUCCAUAGCUCGAAUUGAAGAAGAGGAACUUCCGCUAUCACAAGGUAAUUAUUCUAGUUGGUAUUUCAGUGAAAGAGUCCCAAAUUGUUCUGCUUCUGCAUUGCAAUGGUUGCUAUUUUAUUCUUUACGAAUAGUUGAAGGAGACAGAGUCAAUUGUUUAGAACCAGGGAAAGUCAAUUAUGUUGAAAGCAAAAGUGACAUUAUGAUUAAAGGUAAAUUCAGGACAACUUUAUGCUGUGUGGCCAAUUGCAAGCAAGAUCUUGUUACUCACAAAAAUCAUAAGUGCUCAAUUGUUAAGGGGAAAAAAAGGUUUUGACUCUUUAUACCAUUUGUACAUUUACACAAUCUUGUGGAUCAAUAUUAUCUCAAUUUUUUCAUGUAAUUGCUGAGGUCUUUAGCAUUGAUAGUUUGUGACAUUAAAAGUAUUUCAACUAUUUCCAUAAUUAUUGCCAAAACUACUUUACAAAAAACAAUAGUGUAAUUAGUUGCUACUGAGUGCAUUCUAAAAUUAUGUGGAUUUGUUUGCAUCAAUGGCGACUCCUCCCGGCUUUGAGCCAAAUGAAGAAGCCCUGAAAGAAGCUAAGAAAUUCACCUCAGAUAAUCCAUUUUUCAUGGUCACAGUCACUCAAACCUCUUUAUUUCCCGUUUUUAAUAUUAUAAUUAAUUUUCUCUUUAUUUCUGGUCAAAGUCACUCAAACCUCUUUAUUUCUUUUCUGAAUAUUAAACAAUACUUCUCCAAAUAUAUCUUUUGAUAUGCUAAAUUUUUAUCUUGUUAAAUUAUAUAUAUUAAAAAUACAAAUUUACCUGUCAUAAGAAAAAACAGUUUUCUAGUUUAGGCUAAUAAUAUAUAUUGGUACUUAGUUUUACUUUAUGCAAUAGCUUUUAAAGAUAAUUUUUUUGGCAUUUCCAAUUGCACAAUUUUAAAUAAAAAAAAUUUUCACCACCAUAAUAAGUUUCAGAUUCCCUGACUACAUAAUUUUCAUCAUUCCCCAUUGUUUUGGGAUGUGGCUGCAAAUUGUUAUCAACAAAUUUUUCAUAUGCAAAAUAUUAUUUUUAUCCUAAAAUUUUUGGAGACGGAGAAUGAAACUUUAAUAAUAUUUUAUACCUAAAAUGCCUUAUUUCAAUUAAUUAUUUCUAACUUUACCUUUUAUGCAAAUUAAAUUAGAAUUUUAUUCUUAUUUUAGUAUGUGUCUUCUACUUUAUACAGAACAUAAUACUGAGACUUAUUUCUGUCUCUCAAAUGUCAGUGUUUCCAUCUCUAUCUCUUUUUCAAACACUACAUAAAGUGACACAAUAGCUUUUAAAGAUAAUUUUGUUUCACAAUACGAAUGGCAAAUUUGCCAAAACUAGGCAUGUGUUAUGCCUACUUUCAUUCAUAUUGGAUUUUUUCCUUUGCUGAUUAAAGAAAUAGGACCAGAGUUUUCUCUACCUUUAUAUCUAUGUUACAAACUUACAAUGAAGAGGCUGAAGGUCAUCAUAAUUUGAUAUCUGCUUGCCCUGAUGGUCCAAUAUAUCAAAAUGAUGCGGCCGGACCCAGCAAUAUGGUGGAAGGUUUGCCACGUUCAAAUGAGGCUGUUGGUAUCAGUAACAGUGGUCUUGAAACUUGCAUUAGAGAAAUACAUGAAAAGUUUGAUGAAUUAAGCAUAUUGGAAGAACUACGUAACGAAGAACAAAAUGAAUGAUUGGUUAAAGAAAGUAGAAGGCCUGAAAGAAGAAGCAGCUCAGAUAUUGCUGCAUCAGGAUGCUUUGCAAGACCCUCAAAAGGAAAUAGAUGAUUUGGAAAGAAAAUUGACCAAGCUACGUGCAUUAUACAGUGAGGUUUCAGAAUUAGUGAGUGUCUGCAGCAGCAUUUGUAGUCUCUGAAUUUCCUCCAAAAGUUUCGGUCAACUCCUGUUCAAAACUAAGACAGUCUCACCUUCGACACAAGCAAUCUCCUUCGGCUUCUGAGUCUAUAAGGGUGUUUGAAAACUUUGUGUAAUUCAAUUCAAUUUCCGCGUUCGAAACAAAAAUAAUUAAAUUAGUUUAAAUGGAAUUUAAUUAAAUUUUCUUUUUUAAAUUAAUUCAAAUUCAAAUAGAUUUGAUUUGAAAUUUUAUUCUAUUGAAAUUUUACUUAAAAUUAUUUUAAAAUGUUGAAAAUAUUUUUUAUACUAAUUAUUUUUUAACUUUCUAUUAACAUCUAUUUUUCAAUACAUAAUUUUUUAUUUUUCAAAUUUUAAUUUAUUUAAUAAAUAUUUUAAAUACAGUAAUUCAAUUCAAUUCUAUAAUUUUACUAUUUCAUUUUAAACAUUAGAAUUCAAUUAAAUUCUAUAUUAUUAAAAAUUUCUAAACAAGUUAUAUAUAGAUGUUGAUUGAAUGUGCAAUGCCAAUUAGUGCCUAUGAACACUAUAAUUUGCUUUCUCCAAAAUGCUAUUCACUUUUAUUGUCCUAACCUUUUACUUUUUCAUCAAAUAAUCAAUUUCUCGUUUCUUUUGCAGAUACAGCUUUUCUUUUUCAUUUCAAUUUCGCUAAAUAGAUAAUAGAGGUGUAAUUAACUUAAAUAAUGGAUUGUAUUCAGAGAUCCAAUAACUAUGAAAAAACACUCUAACCUAAUUUCACUUUGGGUUGCUUUCCGGUAUAGAUUUAAAUUCGUACAUAUAUACAGAGAUUCUCUUU
Arachis stenosperma is the source of this 6954-nucleotide long non-coding RNA. RefSeq lists it as uncharacterized. The transcript has 7 exons. Lineage: Eukaryota; Viridiplantae; Streptophyta; Magnoliopsida; Fabales; Fabaceae. The record is from RefSeq and is a predicted model, not a curated record.